CACACAAGCCCAGAGACCCAGAGACCAGCCUCACCAAAUUUGCCUCGCUGUUUUGCAGUGGGAAGCUGUAGCAGAAUGAGGGGAAGCCCCCCAAAACCACAAUCGCAUCCCCGCCCUAGUCCAGACAGUAGGUGUUGCGCAGAAAAAAUGUUUCCCAGGGAUGGGGCCCGAUGAGGUCCUAAUUAGUGCAUCUAAAAAUCCGAUGGGAAUAAGUGAAACUGGAAAGUCAAACACUGCCUGCGCAUCGAGUACAACUUUCUCCAGGUAUUUCCCCCGCUCUCAAUAGCCCCCCACCCGGACAUCCAGUUCAGAGUGACCUGUCUGUCUGAUCCCAGAGAGAGAAGCAAACUCUCGCCUUCCUCCGCUCAGUGGCACAGCGAAGGGCUUCUUGGGUUUAAACCAGUGACUCUCCCAAGAAGCCAAUGAGGGUUUCUAGAGACAAGUCCCCCCUGGGGGCUCCAGCUUCGUCUCCAGGACCUGCCCCCCAGAAAUACUUCCGAGGGCUCCAGUGAAGGGGAAGAGGGACUGGACUGGACUUAACUUCCAGCUUGCGCUCCGCUGGACUGUUUCGCUACGACCAGCGAGGAUCUGGCUGCAAGGAGGCGCUCGCCCUUCCGGAUGGGACCCCCCCUUCAAAGAAGGUGCCCCAUUUCAAACCGCGCCCAGCCUUGGGCUGCUUUCAAAUGGAGAAAAGCCAAACGCAGUCUCAACAAUUCCUCUGGAGCAAUUUCUGCCCGCUGAAGCCUUUACAAACUGGAAAUCCUGAUUACACAAAGUCAUUGGCAAAAGCAGAACUAAUAAAAAGAUUACCUGGUAGCCAGGUCUGUUGUA
Podarcis muralis (Common wall lizard) is the source of this 831-nucleotide long non-coding RNA. RefSeq lists it as uncharacterized. The record is from RefSeq and is a predicted model, not a curated record. NCBI's taxonomy places the organism in Eukaryota, Metazoa, Chordata, Lepidosauria, Squamata, Lacertidae.